RNAcentral lists this ribosomal RNA (496 nucleotides) under uncultured bacterium. Its description in RNAcentral is "partial 16S ribosomal RNA". It matches the Rfam family "Bacterial small subunit ribosomal RNA", at positions 28 to 506 of the family's 1533-position model. The record is from RNAcentral.
GAUGAACGCUGGCGGCGUGCCUAACACAUGCAAGUCGAGCGAACAGACGAGGAGCUUGCCCCUCUGACGUUAGCGGCGGACGGGUGAGUAACACGUGGAUAACCUACCUAUAAGACAGGGAUAACUUCGGGAAACCGGAGCUAAUACCGGACAAUAUAUUGAACCGCAUGGUUCAAUAGUGAAAGACGGUUUUGCUGUCCCUUAUAGAUGGAUCCGCGCGGCAUUAGUUAGUUGGUAAGGUAACGGCUUACCAAGGCAACGAUGGGUAGCCGACCUGAGAGAGGGAUAGGCAACACUGAACUGGAACAAGGUUCCGAAUUCCUAGGGGAGGCAGAGUGAGGAAAUCUUGAGAAAUGGGGGAAAGCCUGACGGAGCAAGGCGGGGGGGGUGAUGAAGGCCUGCGGAUGGUAAACCCCUGUUAUUGGGAAAGAGCAAAUGAGGAAGUAACCAUGCUCGUCUGAAGGGAACCGAAGAAGAAGGCCACGGCUACCUAGGG